This 561-nucleotide long non-coding RNA is filed under the name Elaeis guineensis (African oil palm). RNAcentral describes it as "long non-coding RNA (EGUI_LNC064146)". The record is from RNAcentral. Lineage: Eukaryota; Viridiplantae; Streptophyta; Magnoliopsida; Arecales; Arecaceae.
CCCCAGGGGCAGAGGGAGUGCUUCUGCAGGACACUGCCAUCGGAAGGCAAAAGUGUCAAAGCACGACUCAUUGCAGGAAGAAGAACAGAGAGAAGGAGGGGGGGGAGGAGAAGCCGUCCGCAACAAGAAAUUCAACUUUAUUGAUUGGAUGAUUUUUGAAGACAAACAGGAAAGAAAAAUUGUGACGAAAUAAAGGUACAAGAUCGGAGGUCUCAGACCUCGGGGGUGGGGGCUGGAGAACUCGGCGUCCCCGGCAAGGGGGCUGCGACAGCAGUGGCGGCUGGCGAGGGACUGGUCUCGUCUUCAGACUCUUCGCCUAGGAAGCUGAGGUCGAGCUCUAGAAAUUUUUUAGCCACCUUCUCUUGGCAGAGCUCGAACCCCCUUAUGAACGCUUCCUGGCCAAAUUGGACCUUCAGGUCCCUCAUCUCUGCGGAGGCCUUGAAUUCCUCUACCGCAAGGACUCUGGCCUCCGAGACCAGGACCGAAAUUUGCUCGGCCAAGUUGGCGACCUCGGCCUCCGCCUUUCUCGCUGAUUCCUCCAAGGUCUGCCUCUCCUCCUCC